GCGAGAGCGUGGACGGGAGGCGGGGUAGUGCGGGGGGAGCGAACGUGGUUCGGAAUCACAUGGCGUAAACGGCGUGUGGGCGGCGGUAUAAGUUGGAUUUUAAAUCCCCCGGCUGAACCGUGGACCGGCAUCUCAUACUGUUAAGCUCGAGCACAUCAGAGGAGACUGGAAUUGCCGGUGUAGCGGUGAAAUGCGUAGAUAUCGGGAGGAACACCAGUGGCGAAGGCGAGUCUCUGGGAUGAUGCUGACGCUGAGGCGCGAAAGCCAGGGGAGCAAACGGGAUUAGAUACCCUGGUAGUC
This 300-nucleotide ribosomal RNA is filed under the name uncultured Aeropyrum sp. RNAcentral describes it as "bacterial SSU rRNA". The stretch from base 52 to 300 matches the Rfam family "Bacterial small subunit ribosomal RNA", at positions 547 to 795 of the family's 1533-position model. The record is from RNAcentral. Lineage: Archaea; Thermoproteati; Thermoproteota; Thermoprotei; Acidilobales; Acidilobaceae.